This 253-nucleotide ribosomal RNA is filed under the name uncultured bacterium. RNAcentral describes it as "partial 16S ribosomal RNA". It matches the Rfam family "Bacterial small subunit ribosomal RNA", at positions 524 to 776 of the family's 1533-position model. The record is from RNAcentral.
UACGGGGGGGGUAAGCGUUGUUCGGAAUUACUGGGCGUAAAGGGCGCGUAGGCGGCCAUCUAAGUCAGACGUGAAAUCCCCCGGCUUAACCUGGGAACUGCGUCUGAUACUGGAAGGCUUGAGUAUGGGAGAGGGAUGUAGAAUUCCCAGUGUAGCGGUGAAAUGCGUAGAUAUCUGGAGGAAUACCGGUGGCGAAGGCGGCAUCCUGGACCGGCAUUGACGCUGAGGAGCGAAAGCCAGGGGAGCAAACGGG